RNAcentral lists this ribosomal RNA (609 nucleotides) under Exophiala oligosperma. RNAcentral's name for it is "LSU rRNA". It matches the Rfam family "Eukaryotic large subunit ribosomal RNA", at positions 47 to 667 of the family's 3401-position model. The record is from RNAcentral. Lineage: Eukaryota; Fungi; Ascomycota; Eurotiomycetes; Chaetothyriales; Herpotrichiellaceae.
UAAGCGGAGGAAAAGAAACCAACAGGGAUUGCCUCAGUAACGGCGAGUGAAGCGGCAACAGCUCAAAUUUGAAAUCUGGCCUCUUCGGGGUCCGAGUUGUAAUUUGUAGAGGAUGUUUCGGGUACCGCCUCGGUUUAAAUUUCUUGGAACAGAAUGUCAGAGAGGGUGAGAAUCCCGUCUUGGACCGGCGGUAGGGCCCAUGUGAAACUCCUUCGACGAGUCGAGUUGUUUGGGAAUGCAGCUCAAAAUGGGUGGUAAAUUUCAUCUAAAGCUAAAUAUUGGCCAGAGACCGAUAGCGCACAAGUAGAGUGAUCGAAAGAUGAAAAGAACUUUGAAAAGAGAGUUAAACAGUAUGUGAAAUUGUUGAAAGGGAAGCGCUUACAACCAGACUUGAGCGCGGCGGUUCCCCCUUCCUUUUGGUUGGGUUACUCCGCCGUGUCCAGGCCAACAUCGGUUCUGGGGGUCGGUUAAAGGCCUGGGGAAUGUAUCUACUCCUUCGGGGGUAGACUUAUAGCCCCGGGUGUCAUGCGACCACCCGGGACCGAGGAACGCGCUUCGGCUCGGAUGUUGGCGUAAUGGUUGUCAGCGACCCGUCUUGAAACACGGACC